UAAAGGAAUGAUAGGCAAAGAU
Molecule: non-coding RNA, 22 nt
Filed under: Arabidopsis thaliana (thale cress)
Lineage: Eukaryota; Viridiplantae; Streptophyta; Magnoliopsida; Brassicales; Brassicaceae
Source: RNAcentral